Podarcis lilfordi (Lilford's wall lizard) is the source of this 70-nucleotide non-coding RNA. The record is from the annotation of a GenBank genome assembly. NCBI's taxonomy places the organism in Eukaryota, Metazoa, Chordata, Lepidosauria, Squamata, Lacertidae.
GUCCAUCACUCAGCGGCAGAGUAUCUGCUUUGCAUACAGAAUGUCCCAUGUUCAAGCCCUGGCAUCUGCA